This 19-nucleotide unclassified non-coding RNA is filed under the name Chlamydomonas reinhardtii. Its description in RNAcentral is "small RNA Cre_0027". The record is from RNAcentral. Lineage: Eukaryota; Viridiplantae; Chlorophyta; Chlorophyceae; Chlamydomonadales; Chlamydomonadaceae.
AAAGCGGAUGUCAGCAGUG